CCAGCAUCUGCAGUUCGCUAUCCCCUAAAGUGGCAGCUAUUGUUUUUAUUAUUUUGUCAAAGUGCAUCUACCACGACACCCCUUUUUGUGUUUCAUGUGAAAUCUCUCUCCAAAUAUUUGUGCUCAAAAUAUUGUUUAUUUUUUUUUUAAUUCUGCAGAUCUUUUAUGAUCUGGUCAGACAGAUCAAUAGGAAAGCACCAGUGGAAAAGUGUAAAAAGAAGAAAUCCCAAUGUAUGCUGCUUUAAAUGUCUGCUAUGCAGCAGGUCUGAGCCAGGUAUGAAGAACUGUUGCCUAAUUGGAAAGUGCCAGCAUUCCAAUUUCAAAAAAAAAUUAACAUAUCUGAAGAGGCUUCACCCGUUUUUAUAUCUUCAAUUUAAAAAGAGAUCUCCAGAAGACAGUUUGCACAUACUGUUCCUGAAAUUUGCCAUGUGCAUCGCUUGAACAGACAGUAUUUUCACCUUUUUGCAUAGUGGUUAUAGCCAAUGUGGAUUUAAUGAUGAGUUUAGUUGUAUGAUUAUACAAAAAAAAAGCAUGGACACAUUUCCAAUGUUGUAGAUGUUGCAAGUGAAAUUAAGAGUUGAUUACAUAUUGGCCUUUUAUCAUCGCACCUCUUCUCCCUAUCGAGCACUAAUAGUUCACGGAUAGUUUUUGACAUCUUUAGUCCAUAUUGGUCCCUAAUGGACUUCUCCCAACAGUUAACAUCUACUUUUGGUCAUUGUGGCUCCGUUUUAUAUUGGGAAGUUACAAGAUCACUUUUACUUUCACUAUACAAUUGUAUUCUAAUUAAAAAUGUUUUGUGCAUAAUGCUUUGGAAAAAUGGGUCUUUUAUAGGAAAACUGUGGAAAGCUGAUUUCUAUGUCUCUCUCAAAGCUGAAAUAUAUUAUACUAAACCAACUCUAAA
This is an RNA transcript of Rhincodon typus (whale shark), 901 nucleotides long. RefSeq lists it as uncharacterized. NCBI's taxonomy places the organism in Eukaryota, Metazoa, Chordata, Chondrichthyes, Orectolobiformes, Rhincodontidae. The record is from RefSeq and is a predicted model, not a curated record. The transcript is spliced from 2 exons.